RNAcentral lists this ribosomal RNA (409 nucleotides) under uncultured microorganism. RNAcentral describes it as "bacterial SSU rRNA". It matches the Rfam family "Bacterial small subunit ribosomal RNA", at positions 509 to 917 of the family's 1533-position model. The record is from RNAcentral.
CAGCCGCCGCGGUAAUACGUAAGGAGCGAGCGUUGUCCGGAUUCACUGGGCGUAAAGCGCUCGUAGGCGGCUCCUUAAGUCUCACGUGAAAGCCCCCGGCUCAACCGGGGAGGGUCGUGGGAAACUGGGGAGCUUGAGGGCAGGAGAGGAGAGUGGAAUUCCCGGUGUAGCGGUGAAAUGCAUAGAUAUCGGGAGGAACACCAGUGGCGAAGGCGGCUCUCUGGUCUGUCCCUGACGCUGAGGAGCGAAAGCCAGGGGAGCGAACCGGAUUAGAUACCCGGGUAGUCCUGGCUGUAAACGAUGGGUACUAGGUGUGGGAGGUUCGACCCCUUCCGUGCCGCAGCUAACGCAUUAAGUACCCCGCCUGGGGAGUACGGCCGCAAGGUUGAAACUUAAAGGAAUUGGCGGG